CGAGGAGGUUUGUCCCCUCGUGCGCGCCGUAGCCCCGCCGGGAUCAGGCGGGAAGGGAAUAGGAAGGAAAAUGGAAGGGGAAGGUCGAGUUGCCUUUGGUGUGGGGGCGGCGGCGCCUCCCGCCCUGGUGGUACCGAGUGUGUGUGUCCGGGGGCACCGUCCCGCCGCCCCCGGCCUAGGGCAGCGCUGAGCUGUGGGGGCACGGCCGGCGCUCUCAGAGACGGGGUCUCGGUGUCCCCUCCGAGCGCUGCCGCAGCAGGUGCCUGUCCGGGGUUACAGACCCUUCCACAGGAUAUUCCAGAUCCGGGUACAGAAGCUCCUGAAGAAUAAGGCUGAGCAGUUGUGGCUUCAAAAGGAAGGGAUAUGUGCAAAUAGGAGGGUUUUAGGAGAAGAGUCUUUAAUGAAAGAGCCUUCUGUUCCGUGUGGGUUAUGAAAGCCUGCAGAGCGUUGUCUCAUAGAAUCACAGAAUGGCUCGGUUUGGGAGGGACCCUAAAGAUUAUCCAGUUCCAACGCCCUGCCAUGGGCAGGGACACUUUGCAGUAGACGAGGUUGCUCCAAGCCCUGUCCAGCCUGGCCUUGAACACUUCCAGGGAUGGGGCAGCUGCAGCUGCUCUGGGCAGCUUGUGCCCCACCACCCUCACACUGUUCAUCGUGCAGAGGAAGAGAAGACAGAGGAAGCAAAGGGCUGAGGAACAAUCCUGACAGACAAAGGAUUUAUCAGAAAGACGGGGUUGUUAAGCAGUAUCCAGACACUGCUUCCCUCUGACAGUGGGUUCCUCUCUGCUGCUCCUGCAGCGUGACAAGCAAAGAAACUCUGCUAGGAAGUAAAAUGCAUUUUGUUUGAAGGGGCUUCCUCCUAGGCUGGAGAAUGCCAGGUUGGAUUGAAUAAUAUGCACAGAAAGGAAAGGGAAUGCAAAGUAAGACAGGGGUAAGCACAGGACAUUGUGGUAGAUGAGGGACUUUUGCCACAGGUAAAGUCUCUGUAGGACUCUUCUGACUCCCCUGACUUUUCAGCCUCAGUUUACCAAGCUGGGGAAUAGAGUAUAUCUUCAGUUAUAUAAAACUGCAGUGAAUUACACAAGAUUCAGGAAUUCUUUUGUUUGACCAAAGAACAAAUGAGUCUUGUUAAACAGUCCUAGUUAUUUAGUACAGAUCAUCAUUUGUUUCUAACUACAGUUAAUUAGGCAAAUGGAAAACUUGUAGUUUCUUCUCAGGACUUAAAAAAAAAAAAAAAAAGUCUGGUAAGGAUCAUCCUAUCAUCUUCCAGGACUGCUCCCAGUCCUCAACUCAUCUUCAACUUCAGGAGUGGCAAAACUACAUCACCUUACAAUCAGUUGUCAAUAAUUGCCUGUACCAUGCAUUGCUGCCUAUAUGCAUCUCUGAAGCUAAUCCAGACAGGGCCCUCUGGAUCCUGUUUUUAAUCCUAAUUGAUAAGUCAUGUGCCUGCCUUCCAGCUAUCUGCUAGAGAUUCCCAUAGAGACAGUAACAGCAAUUAAUUUAGAAGACCUAAGGACACCCGAGUACCCUUUGGAACUGUUUUUGAUGUUAUUGUAUUGGUAAAAGUCCCUGGCUGGUGGAGGCAAUAAAGAACAUCGCAGUGCCUGGAAGGAGCUCAGUCCUUAUCGGACACGAAGCUUUGCUGUUCAUCCGAGGGAAGUUGUGCCUCAGUUUUCACUCCUGGGCAAACCACGGGGUGUUUUCCUUACUAUGUUGUUUCAAUUUCACAGAAUUGUUAUGAGGAAUAAACCCUGAGCCAAGGAAGAUGGAUAGGGUAGAGCCUGAUAGGAAAAGGAAUAAACCAGCUCUGGGUGUUCAGAAGGACAGACAAUUCCUUGGGUAGUGCAGGAAGUGUGACUGAUCCAUUAGGUGGCCACCAUGGAGCUGAUACAUAAACUAUUGAUUGCUUAAAAGUCUAAAACAGUGAAACAAUCGCUCUUUUUAAUUAUUUUUUUAAUUUAUUUUAUAAAAGAGUUCAAUGUGAUUUUGUUCUUUAAUACCAGACCAUUUUUCAGCAGACUGCAGCUCUGGUCAAGAAAAGGGAAACAGAAAACGUCUAAUUUUAAGCUCUCAAAACAGGGAGUGCUGUUUUGAGCUCUCAGAAUUGUCAUCGGCCUGUUAUAUCCUUGUUCUAGAGGGACCUCAAAAUUCCUGAUACUUAUCCCUUUAGGCAUACAGUCUUCCCAUUUCCCCCAGGCCAUAUCCCCAUGCAAGACUUGGGCAGGAAACCAAACCCAUCAGACUGAUAAAGAGAUUGCACUGUAUCAUUCCUUCUACUGACUCAGGGUUUAUGAUGGCUGAGCUCAUAAUGAGGAAAUGUGAGAGAGAAAAUGGUGAUUCCUGUCAAGACCAGAACAUGGGCACAGUCUCAUCGUAGGUAGGAGUUUUUUUGAUGAAUAGUUUGUUCUGUUUAUCUUGUUUUUUUUCCUAAAGCAGCUCAACUAUGUUAUUAAAGAAUAAAAGUACUCUGACACUAGUUUUUUUAAAAACCCACUGUUAUACAUGUGUUAUAUAUUGAUAAACAUGUCAAUAUAUGUGUGUUGGGUUUAUGAUUUUUAUUCCCUUAAAAUUUAGUAUAGUUGAGUAACAGUCAACUUUUUCUGGAAAGCAAUAAGAGUUUUCUACUUGCCUGGGCCACUUCUGAUUCUCAGUGUGGGGGAUGUAGAACUUAAUCUCUUAAUGCUUCCAUUUUUUAGUGGCACACUGCUGAGAUCAAAGAAGCUUGAUAUUUUUCCUUGUUACACUGGUAGCUGAGGAAUGUGUGCCCAGAUAGGAGUAAAAUAUUACAAAUCAACAGUGGAUGCUGUGUGGUAAUAGAAACUACUGCUGGUUCUUCUAUAUCUCAGACUCAACCGUCUGGAGAGAGAAUGCAUCUCUGAAGGAGCAAUGUCCUUGAACAGUCGGAUUGUUAGUUCAGAAAAAUCAAGGAAGAGUAGACUAACUAAUUAUUUUUUCUUGAUCUGUGGUCGAACAGAUGUAGAAGGCACCAUGUAAGUUAUUUCUCGAUGUAUUAGUGAUACAUUCUUAAAAUUAUGUUUUAUAUUUUAGCCUGGAGAAGAGGAGGCUCGGGGGGGACCUCACCACUCUCUACAACUACCUGAAAGGGGGUUGUAGCCAGGUGGAGGUCAGUCUCUUCUGCCGUGUCUCAAGGGAAAGGGUGAGAGGAAAUGGCCUUUUGUUGUGCUAGGGGAAGUUCAGAUUAGAUAUUAUAAAAAAAGUUUUCACUGAAAGAGUGGUCAGGCAUUGGGAUGAGUUGCCCAGGGAGGUGGUGGAGUCACCAUCUUUGGCAGUGUUCAAGAGGUGCCUGGAUGUGGCACUUGGGGACAUGGUUUAAGGAUGACAAUCGUGCUGGGUUGACAGCUGGACUAGAUGAUCUUGAAGGUCUCUUCCAACCUUGGUGAUUCUUUGAUUCUAUGAUACUGUACGGUUUUUAAUUAGGAUUUAUAGUUCAGGAAAAGAAAAAAAAAAAGAAGAGAGGUAGUCGGUGUACUUCAGAAGGUAAGUCCACAUAUGAAGAGGAGCUGCAAAUAAUGCAGGAUUCCUGGAAGCUAAACAUAGAAUUGAGCAGUCCAAAACUCAAACCUUCAAAAAUGACUAGAUGUAUUUGAAUACUUGGGCUUUACAGUCUUUAUGAUUUCCUCAAAGUAUAAUACAAAGGAUAAUAUUUCCUUGCUCACAAGAGCGUAAAGGAUUAAUUUGUUAAAGUUUGUGAAGCACUUGGGUGAUGUGAUAAAAAUUUCCACUAACACAGGACUGGAUUUCUGCUUUGUACGGAAGUUUUGGGCUACCUCUUUUUUGGGGGUAGGGUUUUUGUUUGUUUGGUUUGGUUUUUUUAUUUUCUUUUUCACUUCCUUUAAAACACACUCUCAUAAAAUAUUUAAGCUUGCAGAUCUAUGGAAUAAGGCUUCAUAAAUCACCAGUAUUUAGUAAUUGCUGACCUGGAACACUUGCCAAAACCCACAAACCACUUGGUACGUUGUAAUUUGGGAGACCUUACGAGCCACGUAAUAUUUUACAGUUCCUGAAGCUAUUACCCAUCUUUGCAGAAAGAGAGAGAUUUUGAAAGGUAAGAUUGUACAUUGCGUACAAGGGAUUGUACGCAAUGGGCUAUUCCUGUCAUAAAACUUUAAUAGGAUCCUGUAGUCAGCCUGUAUUGCACGGAUUUGACGAGUGGCAGUCUUGAUAAAAACAGAGGUGACAAUUUGGAUCUGUUUAUUUUGUAGUUGAAGAACCAUUUAUAACACAGUGGCGAGGCUAUGGUGAGACAAUUUCUAAAUUAUAUCCAGUGCCAAAAUCCAGUUGGACUGCAGUGGUAUUUCGGUGCCCAGGCAGCAGUGCUGAGUACCCACACAUAGCCCUUCUCUGUGUCACGAGGAUUCAUUUCUGGUUUUCAUCCAGCAGAGAUAGUCCAGUAAGAGGGAUGGUUUUCACACCAGGGUGAGAAAUGCAGGUUUUUAAAUCAUCCACAGGUUGAGCAGGGCCAAGCACUUGGUGGCUGAAGCCACAGAGUGCCCAGGCUGCCCUAACAGCUGUUUCUGGCCAUGAAACAAGGACAAGAUGAAAGUACAGCUAUCUGGGUGUCCCAGACAGAGAGCUGUGGCCACCCGAGUGGAUCAUGUCUGCCAGACUUUGGGAGUGGAAUGACCUGUAAAAGGAGUAGAAGAAACCCACAGGAAUUGUGACUAGAGAUGUCUCCUGAGCUACUGACUUAUAUGAUAGAAAUCUAAACUUAUACUUGGGUCACUGUGGAAAUCCCUGUGCACCUCAAGAUACACAUAAAACCA
Pseudopipra pipra is the source of this 4781-nucleotide long non-coding RNA. RefSeq lists it as uncharacterized. The transcript has 2 exons. The record is from RefSeq and is a predicted model, not a curated record. NCBI's taxonomy places the organism in Eukaryota, Metazoa, Chordata, Aves, Passeriformes, Pipridae.